UACAGAGGUCCCAAGCGUUGUCCGGAUUUAUUGGGCGUAAAGAGCGUGUAGGCGGCUAGAUAGGUCCGUUGUGAAAACUCGAGGCUCAACCUCGAGACGUCGAUGGAAACCAUCUGGCUAGAGUCCGGAAGAGGAGAGUGGAAUUCCUGGUGUAGCGGUGAAAUGCGCAGAUAUCAGGAAGAACACCCGUGGCGAAGGCGGCUCUCUGGUACGUGACUGACGCUGAGACGCGAAAGCGUGGGGAGCAAACAGG
This 253-nucleotide ribosomal RNA is filed under the name uncultured bacterium. RNAcentral describes it as "partial 16S ribosomal RNA". It matches the Rfam family "Bacterial small subunit ribosomal RNA", at positions 524 to 776 of the family's 1533-position model. The record is from RNAcentral.